GCACAGUCUUUGGUAAAAAAAAUAAAGUCAAUCAAGCGCUUCCUGUAGCCAACGACGAGCUUCCUAUAACCAUCAAUGAGCUUCCUCCACCUCUGUACUGGCAGUUUGGCCCACUCCCCUUGUGCAAACUGCUACAGCAUCACACUACAAUCCAUGCUACAGCAUCACACUACAAUCCAUGCUAAAAUGUGGGAUUUUGUCAUAUGCGAAAAUGUGCCUUUUUAAAACGUUGUCUAACGUUAGUUAGUAGCCUUGUCAAGGAUGACAUAUUGGGACACAACACUUUAUAGACCCGGUGGAACUAAAGUAAAUCUUGAAUUUGGAGGUUUAUGAUCUUUAAUAUGCUGAUUAGCAUAGGGCUAACGUGUGCCAGGUUAUCUGAUGGGUCCAGCUGGUGAGAUUAGCAUAGGGCUAACGUGUGCCAGGUUACCUGAUGGGACCAGCGGGUGAGAUUAGC
This is a long non-coding RNA of Oncorhynchus tshawytscha (Chinook salmon), 457 nucleotides long. The record is from Ensembl. NCBI's taxonomy places the organism in Eukaryota, Metazoa, Chordata, Actinopteri, Salmoniformes, Salmonidae.